RNAcentral lists this ribosomal RNA (1314 nucleotides) under uncultured Alphaproteobacteria bacterium. RNAcentral describes it as "uncultured alpha proteobacterium 16S ribosomal RNA". It matches the Rfam family "Bacterial small subunit ribosomal RNA", at positions 33 to 1394 of the family's 1533-position model. Lineage: Bacteria; Pseudomonadati; Pseudomonadota; Alphaproteobacteria. The record is from RNAcentral.
ACGCUGGCGGCACGCCUAACACAUGCAAGUCGAACGAAGUAGCAAUACUUAGUGGCAGACGGGUGAGUAACAUGUAGGUAUCUGCCCUUUGGCCUGGAAUAACACGAGGAAACUUGUGCUAAUACCGGAUAAGUCUUUACGGAGAAAGCUUUAUGCACCAUUGGAUGAGCCUGCACUUGAUUAGUUUGUUGGUGGGGUAAUGGCCUACCAAGACUGUGAUCAAUAGCUGAUUUGAGAGGAUGAUCAGCCACAUUGGGACUGAGACACGGCCCAAACUCCUACGGGAGGCAGCAGUGGGGAAUCUUGCACAAUGGAGGAAACUCUGAUGCAGCGAUGCCGCGUGAGUGAAGAAGGCCCUUGGGUUGUAAAGCUCUUUCGUCGGGGAAGAAAAUGACUGUACCCGAAUAAGAAGGUCCGGCUAACUUCGUGCCAGCAGCCGCGGUAAUACGAAGGGACCUAGCGUAGUUCGGAAUUACUGGGCUUAAAGAGUUCGUAGGUGGUUGAAAUAGUUGGUGGUGAAAUCCCAGAGCUUAACUCUGGAACUGCCAUCAAAACUUUUCAGCUAGAGUAUGAUAGAGGAAAGCAGAAUUUCUAGUGUAGAGGUGAAAUUCGUAGAUAUUAGAAAGAAUACCAAUUGCGAAGGCAGCUUUCUGGAUCAUUACUGACACUGAGGAACGAAAGCAUGGGUAGCGAAGAGGAUUAGAUACCCUCGUAGUCCAUGCCGUAAACGAUGUGUGUUAGACGUUGGAAAUUUAUUUUCAGUGUCGCAGGGAAACCGAUAAACACACCGCCUGGGGAGUACGACCGCAAGGUUAAAACUCAAAUGAAUUGACGGGGACCCGCACAAGUAGUGGAGCAUGUGGUUUAAUUCGAAGAUACGCGCAGAACCUUACCAACACUUGACAUGUUCGUCGCGACUCUAAGAGAUUAGAGUUUUCGGUUCGGCCGGACGAAACACAGGUGCUGCAUGGCUGUCGUCAGCUCGUGUCGUGAGAUGUUGGGUUAAGUCCCGCAACGAGCGCAACCCUCACUUUUAGUUGCCAUCAUUAAGUUGGGCACUCUGAAAGAACUGCCAGUGAUAAGCUGGAGGAAGGUGGGGAUGACGUCAAGUCCUCAUGGCCCUUACGUGUUGGGCUACACACGUGCUACAAUGGUAUCUACAACAGGAAGCAAGACUGCGAAGUUAAGCAAAUCCCUAAAAGAUACCUCAGUUCGGAUUGCACUCUGCAACUCGAGUGCAUGAAGCUGGAAUUACUAGUAAUCGUGGAUCAGCGUGCCACGGUGAAUGCGUUCCCGGGUCUUGCACUCACCGCC